Molecule: ribosomal RNA, 452 nt
Filed under: uncultured bacterium
Lineage: Bacteria
Description: bacterial SSU rRNA
Rfam family: Bacterial small subunit ribosomal RNA
Source: RNAcentral
AACGAACGCUGGCGGCAGGCUUAACACAUGCAAGUCGAACGCAUCCUUCGGGGUGAGUGGCAGACGGGUGAGUAACGCGUGGGAACAUGCCCUUCAGUUCGGAAUAACCCAGGGAAACUUGGGCUAAUACCGGAUACGUGCGAGAGCAGAAAGAUUUAUCGCUGAAGGAGUGGCCCGCGUCUGAUUAGCUAGUUGGUGAGGUAAAGGCUCACCAAGGCGACGAUCAGUAGCUGGUCUGAGAGGAUGAUCAGCCACACUGGGACUGAGACACGGCCCAGACUCCUACGGGAGGCAGCAGUGGGGAAUAUUGGACAAUGGGCGCAAGCCUGAUCCAGCCAUGCCGCGUGAGUGAUGAAGGCCUUAGGGUUGUAAAGCUCUUUCAGCUGGGAAGAUAAUGACGGUACCAGCAGAAGAAGCCCCGGCUAACUCCGUGCCAGCCGCCGCAGUAACAC